CCAGGCUUUUGGUGUGCUGCUUUCUCUGUGUCACCACCACCUACCCCCACGGCCGUGCUGACCCAUAGUGCAGCGUUGCAUUUUGGCCCUCCAGCUGUGAAUGUUUUGUCUUGCAUGGGCUAUCAGUGCAUAAUGGUCAUGAAAAGUGUAUUCUAAAGGAGUACUGGCAUGGAAUCUUCGACUUGUCACUGUUUUGCCAUUAAAUGAAGGCCCAAAUUCAGUAAAGUCCAAAGCAAAUGAGCGCCUAAAUCCUUUUAACCCUAGAGAAAUUACUAGUGCCGGAGCUACGUGUCAGAAAAUUUUGCUUUAUGUCGUAAUGUCAUAAUGUCACCAAAAUGAUGAUGAUGCCAGGUCUGACAUUUCAAGGAACACUUUAACCAUCACAUUAAAAUAUCUGACAAGUAGGUCACAGGCUUUAUACAUGCCAAGUGUCAGCCUUUUAUGCACAAGGAGCGUCUGGUAGAGUUUGACGACUUCGAGAUUGUGUGUUAGUACUCCUUUAACAAGGGGCUUGUGCUGUGCAGCAGUUCUUCAUUUUCAUUGCCACAAGUUUGCUUGACUGCCUCUGACGUAAUAAUUUAUUAUAUGCUUCAGCGUUAGUGCUCCUGGCAUACGUUAGUGCUGGAAAUUAAAAUUAAGUUAACAAGUGAACUGCUACACGACGCAACUUCGAAAUUCAUCAUUUCCCCCUUUUCUUUGUGUUGCAUGUUGUCAUCAUUGAGUUAAGCUAUCACAAAUUUCAGGAUAUUUUUGAUUGAGGGCUUCAGCUUUGAUAAGAACUAAAAGAAAAAAGCCAGAAGAAUGCAAGUGUUGUAGAGGUUCAUGUGAGCUCUAGGUGCUGAUGUAAAUGUGUUUCUGUCAGCAGCUUUUUUUUUUUUUGUAGAAUUAGGACUAGUCAUUAGUGCAGAUCUAUAGUGGCAGCUGCUUUGGCCCUUUGCAAGAAUUUUUUGUUUUGUUACAUAAGUACUUCAGCUCAUCUAUACUAAACCAGUGGUCCUGUAUAGACUUUUCAAGUACAUUUGGAACAGCUGCAAAGUAUUCAAGGCUCAUAAAUACAUUUUUUGUUGUUCAGGCAAAAUGUUUGCUACCACAAAGAAGUGUUUAGUCUUGCAAAGCUGUCAAUGACAAGCAUCC
This 1134-nucleotide long non-coding RNA is filed under the name Dermacentor andersoni. RNAcentral's name for it is "uncharacterized LOC126522673". Lineage: Eukaryota; Metazoa; Arthropoda; Arachnida; Ixodida; Ixodidae. The record is from RNAcentral.